AAUAGAUACCCGGGUAGUCCACGCCGUAAACGAUGGGUACUAGGUGUGGGAGGUGUCGACUCCUCCCGUGCCGUCGCUAACGCACUAAGUACCCCGCCUGGGGAGUACGGCCGCAAGGCUAAAACUCAAAGGAAUUGACGGGGGCCCGCACAAGCAGCGGAGCAUGUGGUUUAAUUCGACGCAACGCGAAGAACCUUACCUGGGCUUGACAUGUUGGUGACCGCCGUGGAAACACGGUUUUCCUUCGGGACACCAUCACAGGUGGUGCAUGGCUGUCGUCAGCUCGUGCCGUGAGAUGUUGGGUUAAGUCCCGCAACGAGCGCAACCCCCGUUCCAUGUUGCCAGCAUUUAGUUGGGGACUCAUGGGAGACUGCCGGUGACAAACCGGAGGAAGGUGGGGAUGACGUCAAGUCAUCAUGCCCCUUAUGUCCAGGGCUACACACGUGCUACAUUGGCGCAUACAAAGGGCAGCAAUACCGCGAGGUGGAGCAAAUCCCGAUAAAGUGCGCCUCGGUUCGGAUUGGAGGCUGAAACUCGCCUCC
RNAcentral lists this ribosomal RNA (542 nucleotides) under uncultured bacterium. RNAcentral describes it as "bacterial SSU rRNA". It matches the Rfam family "Bacterial small subunit ribosomal RNA", at positions 777 to 1319 of the family's 1533-position model. The record is from RNAcentral.